Molecule: ribosomal RNA, 992 nt
Filed under: uncultured Corynebacterium sp.
Lineage: Bacteria; Bacillati; Actinomycetota; Actinomycetes; Mycobacteriales; Corynebacteriaceae
Description: bacterial SSU rRNA
Rfam family: Bacterial small subunit ribosomal RNA
Source: RNAcentral
GUGCCAGCAGCCGCGGUAAUACGUAGGGUGCGAGCGUUGUCCGGAAUUACUGGGCGUAAAGGGCUCGUAGGUGGUUUGUCGCGUCGUUUGUGUAAGCCCGCAGCUUAACUGCGGGACUGCAGGCGAUACGGGCAUAACUUGAGUGCUGUAGGGGAGACUGGAAUUCCUGGUGUAGCGGUGGAAUGCGCAGAUAUCAGGAGGAACACCGAUGGCGAAGGCAGGUCUCUGGGCAGUAACUGACGCUGAGGAGCGAAAGCAUGGGUAGCGAACAGGAUUAGAUACCCUGGUAGUCCAUGCCGUAAACGGUGGGCGCUAGGUGUGAGUCCCUUCCACGGUUUCUGUGUCGUAGCUAACGCAUUAAGCGCCCCGCCUGGGGAGUACGGCCGCAAGGCUAAAACUCAAAGGAAUUGACGGGGGCCCGCACAAGCGGCGGAGCAUGCGGAUUAAUUCGAUGCAACGCGAAGAACCUUACCUGGGCUUGACAUACACCAGAUCGCUGCAGAGAUGUAGUUUCCCUUGUGGUUGGUGUACGGGUGGUGCAUGGUUGUCGUCAGCUCGUGUCGUGAGAUGUUGGGUUAAGUCCCGCAACGAGCGCAACCCUUGUCUUAUGUUGCCAGCAUUUGGUUGGGGACUCAUGAGAGACUGCCGGGGUUAACUCGGAGGAAGGUGGGGAUGACGUCAAAUCAUCAUGCCCCUUAUGUCCAGGGCUUCACACAUGCUACAAUGGUCGGUACAACGCGCAGCGACACUGUGAGGUGGAGCGAAUCGCUGAAAGCCGGCCUUAGUUCGGAUUGGGGUCUGCAACUCGACCCCAUGAAGUCGGAGUCGCUAGUAAUCGCAGAUCAGCAACGCUGCGGUGAAUACGUUCCCGGGCCUUGUACACACCACCCGUCACGUCAUGAAAGUUGGUAACACCCGAAGCCAGUGGCUCAAACUCGUUAGGGAGCUGUCGAAGGUGGGAUCGGCGAUUGGGACGAAGUCGUAACAAGGUA